This 468-nucleotide ribosomal RNA is filed under the name uncultured bacterium. RNAcentral's name for it is "partial 16S ribosomal RNA". It matches the Rfam family "Bacterial small subunit ribosomal RNA", at positions 28 to 507 of the family's 1533-position model. The record is from RNAcentral.
GAUGAACGCUGGCGGCGUGCUUAACACAUGCAAGUCGAACGGAAAGGCCCAAGCUUGCUUGGGUACUCGAGUGGCGAACGGGUGAGUAACACGUGGGUGAUCUGCCCUGCACUUCGGGAUAAGCCUGGGAAACUGGGUCUAAUACCGGAUAGGACGAUGGUUUGGAUGCCAUUGUGGAAAGUUUUUUCGGUGUGGGAUGAGCUCGCGGCCUAUCAGCUUGUUGGUGGGGUAAUGGCCUACCAAGGCGUCGACGGGUAGCCGGCCUGAGAGGGUGUACGGCCGCAUUGGGACUGAGAUACGGCCCAGACUCCUACGGGAGGCAGCAAUGGGGAAUAUUGCACAAUGGGCGCAAGCGUGAUGCAGCGACGCCGCGUGGGGGAUGACGGCCUUCGGGUUGUAAACUCCUGUCGCUAGGGACGAAGCGUUUUUGUGACGGUACCUGGAGAAGAAGCACCGGCUAACUACGUG